CGACACAACAGUGUUCCAUGGCACAUUGGUUGGAAAACACUGAUAUAGGGACAAAAAAACAUCACCACUGCAUAAUGAGCAAUGGUACGUUGACCUGUCAGGUUUUGAGGCUCCUCAUACGAUACAGUGUUUUAUUGUACGACUUUUUGUUGAAAAUAAAAUCCACAGAUGCGCACAAAAAAAUUACAGUUGAGGAAGACGUGCAUUGCAACAAAAAUAGUGAGAAUACAACAGACUCGCUCCCAUUCAUUUGAAUGAGCUGGUGAUCACGUGUACACUAAAUACAUUACUAGACAGCACCGGAUGUACCUCCCAACGGUUGCUAACACGGAAGUGUGAAGCGUGUGCCCAAUGUCUCUCUCUCUCUCUCUCUCUCUCUCUCUCUCUCUCUCUCUCUCUCUCUCUCUCUCUCUCUCUCUCUCUCUCUCUCCGUCCUUCCCUCCUUCCGCCCACAAAUGAUUGUCAGAAUAAGCUUUACGCCUCGCUCACACCGGGUACGAAAUGGCUGCGGUGCAGUUUAUCCGCGGAACACUGGCGCACUACAGCUCACAACGGCGGCAAUCAACUGCGUUGCGGCUCCGGAAAUCUCCGCCCACGAGACCACAAGAUCACGGGGGAAGGGUACGGAGUGCACGCUGAAGAGUUGACUUCAGUCCUUGGUACACUCCCUACGCCAUCUAAUCUAUCUGUUAACUCCGUUAACUUCCUUCACAUCCUGCAUUGGGAUCCUGGGCCUGGAACCCCACCAGGUGUACAGUACACGGUCUUCUCAAGGUUAAGCGGUGAAAAGGUAAAAGAAGCACUGAAUGACUACACAACUGCAACGUCUUUACAGCUGAGGUUGGAUGAUUAUAAGUACUAUUUGACUGUCCAAGCAUUCUUCAAUGGAACCUGGUCUCCAGAGUCUGAAGAAAUCUCGUUCACUCCUUUUGAACAAAGUAUCUCUGAUAGGUCCUCCAAAGGUAAUGGUGACUGACUGUGGCAACUGCAUUCUUAUCAACAUAUCCCUGCCCAAGGCUGACAAAAGCUCAGGAAUACCAAACAAUGACAUCCUGGCCUUCUACAAAGGAAAGUUCAGGGUCUUGUGGAAGAAAUCUAACAAAACUGAGGUUUGCAAAACUGAAGCCAGUAGUGUUAAAAUUGACAACUUGGAGACGGGCAAAGAGUACUGUGUACAGAUUCAAACUGAGAUUACCAUGAAUAAUAAUACUAAGCCAUCAACCUGGGUAUGCACCUUCACAAGUACGACUGCAGAUUUGAUCAGAGUACCUGUUCCCGGCACAUUGAUAGGUCUUGGGAUUUUUUGCAUUGGUGCCUUGAUGACAUUAACAUAUUGUCUGUACCACAAUGGAUUCGCUUCUAAAUUUCAAGCAACUCUUCCAAGAGCACUAAUUAUGCAUGCCAAAUCUCUGGCAGUAGAGGAAACGAGCCCUGAUUUCAUCUCAGUUUGCACAGAUACAUACAAACAGAAGUGUACUAUUGCCACAGCAUUAUAUCCUGCCCACAGAACCACAUGCUCAGGGAAGGAUGAGGGGGAAGUGGAUGAAGAGGAAGAAAGUGAAGGAAAUGAUUUCUACAUUAACAGAGAUGGUGAAACGUCCUCACAGGAAAGUUCCUGUCGUUAUUCUGGUGAUGUAUUAAGGACAAGUUUGACUGUGAGGUCACACACUGAAGCAGAUGCAUCUAAGUUAUCAUCUGGGACUGUUUCAGCAGAGCUGGAUCAAUUCAAGACUGGAGUUGAAAAUUGCACUAUUUUGUUUCAGCAACCUGAAAUGGAAGUCAAGGAGCAACUCAUGUUUGAGUUGGAAGAGGAAAUUAAUGAGAAUACUGUCAGCGUGUCUGAAAAUGUCAACCUAUCAUCUGUGACUCUGACUGCUAUAACCAUAUGCGAGAAAGAACUUGUUGAUUCUUUGAGGCUUUCUGAACCUUUAAUGUUCAGAGAGACAAAUGAAAUUUUGGUCCAUACAGACUUAAAUGACUUGACAUCAACGGUCUAUACAUGCUUUGGUGAAACUCGCUAUGAGAGUAAGUGUGAUGACGUUGAAACACAAGAUAGGUUGGACGAAGAACAAUUCUUAGGAUAUGUGCGACGCUGAUUUGCUUCUGCAACAUACAGUCAUAGAAAAAAUUACUAGACACACAUGUUGCCUCAGUUACCUGUUCAUUUUUUUCAAAGUACCCACUUUUUAACGGAGACAACUUUGCACAUCUUGGUAUUUUGUUCAAAUUUAUAUGUAUCACCUCAUUUUCAAAGGGGUACCAGGUAAAAAUAAAAAAA
This is an RNA transcript of Syngnathus acus (greater pipefish), 2278 nucleotides long. It is a transcript of the gene named interferon alpha/beta receptor 2-like, with no coding region annotated. The transcript is spliced from 8 exons. NCBI's taxonomy places the organism in Eukaryota, Metazoa, Chordata, Actinopteri, Syngnathiformes, Syngnathidae. The record is from RefSeq and is a predicted model, not a curated record.